UGGGGAAUAUUGCACAAUGGGGGAAACCCUGAUGCAGCGACGCCGCGUGAACGAAGAAGGUAUUCGUAUCGUAAAGUUCUGUCCUAUGGGAAGAUAAUGACAGUACCAUAGAAGAAAGCUCCGGCUAAAUACGUGCCAGCAGCCGCGGUAAUACGUAUGGAGCGAGCGUUGUCCGGAAUUAUUGGGCGUAAAGGGUACGCAGGCGGUUUAAUAAGUCAAAUGUUAAAGAUCGGGGCUCAACCCCGCAAAGCAUUGGAAACUGAUAAACUUGAGUAGUGGAGAGGAAAGUGGAAUUCCUAGUGUAGUGGUGAAAUACGUAGAUAUUAGGAGGAAUACCAGUAGCGAAGGCGACUUUCUGGACACAAACUGACGCUGAGGUACGAAAGCGUGGGGAGCAAACAGG
RNAcentral lists this ribosomal RNA (403 nucleotides) under bacterium. RNAcentral describes it as "partial 16S ribosomal RNA". It matches the Rfam family "Bacterial small subunit ribosomal RNA", at positions 355 to 776 of the family's 1533-position model. The record is from RNAcentral.